This is a long non-coding RNA of Limulus polyphemus (Atlantic horseshoe crab), 364 nucleotides long. RefSeq lists it as uncharacterized. Lineage: Eukaryota; Metazoa; Arthropoda; Merostomata; Xiphosura; Limulidae. The record is from RefSeq and is a predicted model, not a curated record. The transcript is spliced from 3 exons.
GGAAAGUACAGAAGUUACGAGGUGCAUGAUGGGAACUAGGCCAUCAGUACUACUUUAACAUAUUUCCGUAUGGAUAUCGAUCUUUUCCAUCUAAUGGAACUAACUCCUCGACAUGGUCUAUGGACUGAAAAGAGGGCAUGUGCAGGGCCUUCGGGGUAGAUCACAAGUACGCUCAAACAUGAUCUAUAUAAGAAAACGACUUAAUAGGAACUGCAGUAACAAUACAAAGAAAGAAGGACCAUCUUGAAAAGAAAAAGAAACCAAAACCUACCUGGAUAUAUGACACGUGUAUUUUUGAUAUCAACAAAUACUAUUGUGAAGUUUGUAACAUAAUACAUGGAAGAGUGUUUUGUUUUUGAAAAAG